CGAAACACAAACUUGUGUGUUUAAAUUUUAAGUAAGCCACACACGGUAGCGCAUUCCAGUCACCUCAGCACUCAGGAGGCUGAGGCAGGGGUGAGGCCAGCCUGGGCUACACAAAAAACCCUGUGCACAGCCCCCAUCCCUCAAUUUUUAAGUAAAUAAAUAACAGAACUAGCUUUGGUGCCUGUCCCUCCAAUGUGAGCCUUCCAGCUUCCAACCCGCGGGGCCCUGGACCAUGCCCUGAUCCUCCUGGCCUUACUCAGCAAGGUCAGGCUGAGCUCUGCUCUCAGACUUUGCCCCAUCAUUCCACUGGAAAAGCUGUUCUUUCCCUGAGCCCCUGAACACAAUCCAGUGCCUGAGCACUGAGUUACUUCUUCACACAUAAAAUACAACAGGACGCUGGGUGAGGACCGGGCCUCUUAGCUGUGUCUUCUCAGCUCCGCAACGCUACGUCAGUUGGCCCGCAUGAGUCUUGACUGCGUAUCUAUUAAGUGUCUACUGUCAUUUCCUCACGGGCCCUAGCAGGGAGGUGAGAGGCUCUUAGGGCCUUUAAAAGUCAAGGUCUUGGGGGCUGGAGAGAUGGCUCAGAGGUUAAGAGCACUGACUGCCCUUUGAGAGGUCCUGAGUUCAAUUCCCAGCAACCGCAUGGUGACUCAAAACCAUCUGUAAUGAGUUCUGGUGCCCUCUUCUGGCAUGCGGGGAUAUAUGCAGGCAAAACACCAUAUACAUAAUAAAUAAAUCUUUAAAAAAAAGAAAAAAAAAUUAAAAACAACAACAAAAAAAAAACCUCAAGGCCUCCUGGAAAGCUGAGCGAACAAGAACUACAGUGAACUACAGGAACUAAAGGAACUACAGUGAACAGAAGGAUGCUAUGGCUGUCCACUGCAUAGGUCUGUCAUCAAGGCACUGGAGGACUUCUAACUGUAAAUAUCGUUCGGAUGUCAUUGGGCUCAGUCACCCAGAGCUGGAUCAGCAGGACAAGGUCAAUCAGAUCUGCCAUUUCCUUUCUAGUACCUUCUAUAUUUCACCAACUCUAAGGCAGAGCAAUUAUAAGAUACAUCAAUUUUGAAUCACAAGGAUUUUUUUACUGUUUUUUAACUAUUUUUUUUGAAACAUGGUCUUAAUAUGUAGUACUAGCCGUAGCAUAACUCACUAUAUAGACCCCAAACUAGCCUCAAACUCACAGAGACCUGCCUAUCUCUGCCUCCCAAAUGCUAUGAUUAAAGGCAUAAGCGAUCACAUCUGGUUAUUUUUCAAUGUCUUAUAUUGCAUUUAUUGAUGGGGAUGUGGCAUGCAUGUGGAGGUCAGAGGGCAGCUUGGAAGACCCAGCUCUACCCCUCCACCAUGGGGAUCUACGGAGCUGAACUAAGGAUAGCAGACUUGACAGCAAGCACGUUUUCUCACUGGGCCACCUCGCAAGCUCUCACGUGGAUUUUUACAGAAUGCGCGGGGUCAGACAUAGUGGCCUUCAGUCCCAGCACUCAGGAGGCAGAGGUUGAUCUCUGAGGUUGAGGCCAGCCUGGUCUACAGAGUGAGCUCCAGGACUGCCAGGACUACAUGAAGACCCUGUCUCAGAAAACAAGACAGUACGGUUAGAAGUAUGGUUACACGCCCCAUCACGACAGGUGGCUGUAACAGGAUUAAGUUUUCUCCACGCUAUCUCAACCAUCUUUGAUUUCUACCCUCUGCCCUGAAAAGUCCUGUAGAAAAACACCCUACCUCGUUCCACAAACUCAGGGUCACAAUGAUCCAGCUCAUUGCAUAUUCUUGGCUCCUGUUAGAUUUCUUGCUUGCUUCCCCCUGCAACUGCCAACCAGGAUGUGGUUUAUUUAUGUUCUUUGUCUCUGAAAUCUCGUAAAACAUGCAUGCAGGCCUGCUCCGAGAGAAGUCUUUCUCCUAGGCAGUCGCGGGCUGGCUUAAUAGAGACUCUCAAGUCUAUCUUUGGUCAUGCCACAUGGUCUAUGGGUUUUCAUCCCAUACAGUAGUCAAAAGAUGUUAUUUCCUUUUUCACACACACACACACACACACACACACACACACACACACACACACACACACACACACAUCUAUAUAUAUACCACCCUUAAAGCUGUGCCACCUGGUAGCUCAGAACCAUCUGUAACUCCAGCUCCAUGGCAUGCAGUGCCCUCGUGUGGUCUCUGAAGGUACUACAUGUAUGCAGUAUACAUUCAGACAUGCAGGCAAAAAAAAAAAUACUCAAACACAUAAGAUAAAAACAAUAAGUCAGAAAGGAAGGAAGGAAGGAAGGAAGGAAGGAAGGAAGGAAGGAAGGAAGGAAGGAAGGAAGGAAGGAAGGAAGGAAGGAAGGAAGGAAGGAAGGCAGGCAGGAAGGCAGGAAGGAAGGAAGAGAACAAUGCUUCGGGAAGGUUUAAUAAUAGGUUUUGCAAAGGGAGCUGUUUAGAACCUUCAAGGGAAGGUCUUCCAAUGACUUCUCAUUCCUGUCUAUAACUGAGGGCUCAGCUUGUGUCUAUAGGAUUCAGGACUCAAGCUGACCUGAUGCAAUCAGUGUCAGAAUAUUAUUUUCUAUCUUAGUGUCAUGAUCAAUCAUCUUGACAUGCUGAUUUUCUUCUUUAAGUCAUAUUUAAGAGAUGUUUGGUGAAGCACUGGCUUUCAAUACCCUCCCCCCUUCUCAGCCAAAAACAAAAAUAAAAAAAAGCAUGCAUCUAACCCUAGAGGAUCAUCUGCCUUCAUUUCUUAUUCCCUUUCUGUUGUCAAUGAUGUUUUGUUUUUUUCAAGACAGGGUUUCUCUGUGUACCCCUGACUGCCUUUGUAAACCAGACUGGCCUCGACCUCAAGAGAUCCGCCUGCCUCUGCC
This is a long non-coding RNA of Alexandromys fortis (reed vole), 2834 nucleotides long. RefSeq lists it as uncharacterized. Lineage: Eukaryota; Metazoa; Chordata; Mammalia; Rodentia; Cricetidae. The transcript is spliced from 2 exons. The record is from RefSeq and is a predicted model, not a curated record.